CCAAAGCCGGAGGAAGGUGGGGAUGACGUCAAGUCAUCAUGGCCCUUAUGUCCAGGGCGACACACGUGCUACAAUGGCCGGCACAGCGGGAAGCAGGGGGCGACCUUGAGCGGAUCCCUCAAAGCCGGUCUCAGUUCGGAUUGCAGUCUGCAACUCGACUGCAUGAAGUUGGAAUCGCUAGUAAUCGUGGAUCAGCCAAGCCGCGGUCGAAUACGUUCCCGGGCCUU
This 227-nucleotide ribosomal RNA is filed under the name uncultured Thermovirga sp. Its description in RNAcentral is "partial 16S ribosomal RNA". It matches the Rfam family "Bacterial small subunit ribosomal RNA", at positions 1157 to 1382 of the family's 1533-position model. Lineage: Bacteria; Thermotogati; Synergistota; Synergistia; Synergistales; Thermovirgaceae. The record is from RNAcentral.